ACGAACGCUGGCGGCGUGCUUAACACGUGCAAGUCGAACGGAAAGGCCCUGCUUUUGUGGGGUGCUCGAGUGGCGAACGGGUGAGUAACACGUGAGUAACCUGCCCUUGACUUUGGGAUAACUUCAGGAAACUGGGGCUAAUACCGGAUAGGAGCUCCUGCUGCAUGGUGGGGGUUGGAAAGUUUCGGCGGUUGGGGAUGGACUCGCGGCUUAUCAGCUUGUUGGUGGGGUAGUGGCUUACCAAGGCUUUGACGGGUAGCCGGCCUGAGAGGGUGACCGGCCACAUUGGGACUGAGAUACGGCCCAGACUCCUACGGGAGGCAGCAGUGGGGAAUAUUGCACAAUGGGCGGAAGCCUGAUGCAGCAACGCCGCGUGCGGGAUGACGGCCUUCGGGUUGUAAACCGCUUUCGCCUGUGACGAAGCGUGAGUGACGGUAAUGGGUAAAGAAGCACCGGCUAACUACGU
Molecule: ribosomal RNA, 466 nt
Filed under: uncultured bacterium
Lineage: Bacteria
Description: partial 16S ribosomal RNA
Rfam family: Bacterial small subunit ribosomal RNA
Source: RNAcentral